UAAAAAAAAAAAAAAAAAGACUUUAAGACUUGACAAACUUCAUGUUUCUUUCCUAUUAUCACAAGGGAACAGAAAAUCUUUCUAUCAUUUAGUAUACUCGUACAUGCCUUUGGGACAAGGAUAAGCAAAUGACAUACUUAACACCUAAAAGACUGACCACAAUAUUACAUUAUAGAGACUGAGUCAUCAAGUUGAAUUACAUUGUAGAGAAAUAAUAAUCUCCUACAAUAUUCAUUUUAUGUUAAUGAACAGAUACAUAUUAGAUCAGAAAAAAAGGCUAGAAAUGAAAUGGUAUUUGAAAAAAUGUCAAAAAUUAUGAGAUAAGGAAGGUCAAAUCCUCAAACAGAACCAACUAACUAAAAAUAAUAGAAUGAAGAAAAGCUACAAGUAUGUAUUUUAGUGCUGCAUAAAAUAUGAAAGCCUAUGGUCUAUGUCAUUUAAAGGAAAGUGAUCAUGCAAUUGAUUUAAGAUAAUUUUGAACAGAGGUUACAUUUAUUUAAAAACAAAGUUUACUAAUUAGACAAUGAAAACAAGAAUGUUGUGGGACUACUGCCUACCAUCUUGAGACGUUGAGAAAUUGAAACUUUGGAAAUUAUGCCUGUUAAAGAUCUGAUCAGUGGGGUGAGGUCUCUGCAUGAAGUCAUCCACU
This 649-nucleotide unclassified non-coding RNA is filed under the name Hevea brasiliensis (rubber tree). Lineage: Eukaryota; Viridiplantae; Streptophyta; Magnoliopsida; Malpighiales; Euphorbiaceae. The record is from RNAcentral.